UCUCCGUAGGUGAACCUGCGGAGGGAUCAUUACCAAAGAUGGCGGGCCUCCGCGCCCCCGUCCCCAACCCAUUGUUGACCAAAACCCUUUUGCCUCGGGGGCAGAGCGUCCGCCGCCGCCCCCGGAGGACCAUUUAACGCUGUCUCUUUGCGUCGGAGUAUUGAUUAAAUGAAUGAAAACUUUCAACAACGGAUCUCUUGGCUCUCCCAUCGAUGAAGAACGCAGC
Molecule: unclassified non-coding RNA, 226 nt
Filed under: uncultured fungus
Lineage: Eukaryota; Fungi
Description: sequence contains ITS1, 5.8S rRNA gene
Rfam family: 5.8S ribosomal RNA (bases 178-226)
Source: RNAcentral